GAUGAACGCUGGCGGCGUGCUUAACACAUGCAAGUCGAACGGGAAAUACUUUAUUGAAACUUCGGUCGAUUUAAUUUAUUUCUAGUGGCGGACGGGUGAGUAACGCGUGGGUAACCUGCCUUAUACUGGGGGAUAACAGCCAGAAAUGGCUGCUAAUACCGCAUAAGCGCACAGAACCGCAUGGUUCGGUGUGAAAAACUCCGGUGGUAUAAGAUGGACCCGCGUUGGAUUAGCUAGUUGGCAGGGCAGCGGCCUACCAAGGCGACGAUCCAUAGCCGGCCUGAGAGGGUGAACGGCCACAUUGGGACUGAGACACGGCCCAGACUCCUACGGGAGGCAGCAGUGGGGAAUAUUGCACAAUGGGGGAAACCCUGAUGCAGCGACGCCGCGUGAAGGAAGAAGUAUCUCGGUAUGUAAACUUCUAUCAGCAGGGAAGAUAAUGACGG
RNAcentral lists this ribosomal RNA (446 nucleotides) under uncultured bacterium. Its description in RNAcentral is "bacterial SSU rRNA". It matches the Rfam family "Bacterial small subunit ribosomal RNA", at positions 28 to 457 of the family's 1533-position model. The record is from RNAcentral.